CUGCCUAUAAUCGCAUAACAGUCCCUUUUGCAUUUUCAUCGUUUUUGAGUUAAAUAUUUAUUAAAAGCACUAUAGUACUAAAGAAUUCAUUAGACUUAUUUCCCUUACCCCUUAUACCCCCUACUGUUGCCUGUUGCGUGCAAUCCAACCAUGCAAAUAGGGAUAUAAUCAACUUUUGCAAGAGAGCAAGUAACGAGAAAAAAUACAUGGAACUUAAAAAACUUGGUUCAGGCUCUGUACUAUCAGGUUUUAAUUUUUCCGUAUAAUGAUGACCCUUUCUGGCUAGCAUCGACCAACCUGUUCAACACCAAUUCUAUUUAACAGCAUCCAUAAACGGAUGACAAUCCAUAUUACUAUUUAUUGUAAGCAAAUAUUUUGAAAUACUUAGCCCAUAUUUUGAAACUCAUUACCAUGAACGGAGAAAUUUAAAAAAACAACUUGCAGAUGCCUUGACGGAAUACAUAUUUUGAAUAUAAUUCACCUUAUUCUGGUAUACGGCCGCAUCCAACAUUCCUACAAACUUGGAAAAUGGUAGUCCUAGUUUCGAAUACCAUAUUUUCUUACGAAUGUGAUCUAAGCAAAAAUAAAAUUGAGAACCCGUCUUCAUUUACGCUUUUUUUAGUAU
This is a long non-coding RNA of Wyeomyia smithii (pitcher-plant mosquito), 625 nucleotides long. RefSeq lists it as uncharacterized. The record is from RefSeq and is a predicted model, not a curated record. The transcript is spliced from 3 exons. NCBI's taxonomy places the organism in Eukaryota, Metazoa, Arthropoda, Insecta, Diptera, Culicidae.